GAGAAGGGCUGUGUGCAGCAUGAAAGCCAAGUGCUACCUGGUAAGGAGGUGGGGGAAUGUCCCUACUUGUGAUGGACAAGAUUGUCUUCACAUGACAGUGGACUUUCAUUCUGGGUGGCCUGAACAAUGGGCUUGCCAGGAGUGGCCCCCCUUCCUUCUCCCAGUGAGAAGGCCCACACCCAAGCUCAGCUUAUCUUGGGACUGGGGGCUAUUCCCGUAUUCUGAGUAUUCUGUGCCCCCCUCUCCCUGGCCAGCUGGGGACACGGUACUAUCCACAGGCCCGAGGUAUCCAGUUACUGGCAUCCUCAACUCAACAACUCCUGUAAUGGGCUGGCACCCCAAAUCCAGACUGCACGGUGCCAAGCAGCCUCUGUUGACAAGGCUGCUCUCUCAUGCCAGUUGCAUACAAAGGCGGGGUGAUGGCAGGAAGACCCUUCUUCGGGGACGCACACUGGAAAGCAGGCCCAGUUACUGCUGCCCUGGCUCCCCUCCCCGGGGAUGAAAGGGAUCUCAGCCAAGAACGCAGACGAGGAGAGGGAAAAGGAUCUCUCCUCCCCUAUGUGUCCACUGCGACUGCCUUCUCUGCCAGGAAGCCUUCUGUGACCACCUCUCCAAUUCUGGGUCAGUCUCUCCGUCCUCUCACCUCCAGUGCCCCUUGGGAUCUGAUCCACUCCCUUGACAGGCAAUGGCCUUGUCCAGCAGGUUAACCUGGGCAUGUUUUAAGCAUAUUGUCAUGGUGAUCACAGAGAAGUAAGAGAAGAAACAGAAACACAUAGACACUUGUUCAAACCUCUACUUGUGUCAAGUCUUCUAACGUCAUCGUCAUUGUAAUGGCCAAAGCAAGUUGCACGGCCAAGCUCAUAUUCUUCAAGAGAGUGGAGAGAUACAUUCAGCUUCUGUUAUGAAAGGAAUUGCUAAUUCACAGGACAAAGGACACGGAUAUAGGGAAGGGUGAAGAAAU
This 961-nucleotide long non-coding RNA is filed under the name Equus caballus (horse). RNAcentral's name for it is "lncRNA (ENSECAG00000048295.1)". The record is from RNAcentral. Lineage: Eukaryota; Metazoa; Chordata; Mammalia; Perissodactyla; Equidae.